UACGAACUGUGCGAACGUUAUUCGGAAUUACUGGGCUUAAAGGGUGCGUAGGCGGCGCUGUAAGUCAGGUGUGAAAGCCCUCGGCUCAACCGAGGAAUUGCGGUUGAAACUGCAGUGCUUGAGUGAGGUAGGGGUGCAUGGAACUUCCGGUGGAGCGGUGAAAUGUGUAGAUAUCGGAAGGAACGCCAGCGGCGAAAGCGGUGCACUGGGCCUUGUCUGACGCUGAGGCGCGAAAGCUAGGGUAGCGAACGGG
RNAcentral lists this ribosomal RNA (253 nucleotides) under uncultured bacterium. RNAcentral describes it as "partial 16S ribosomal RNA". It matches the Rfam family "Bacterial small subunit ribosomal RNA", at positions 524 to 776 of the family's 1533-position model. The record is from RNAcentral.